This 515-nucleotide ribosomal RNA is filed under the name uncultured bacterium. RNAcentral's name for it is "bacterial SSU rRNA". It matches the Rfam family "Bacterial small subunit ribosomal RNA", at positions 355 to 880 of the family's 1533-position model. The record is from RNAcentral.
UGGGGAAUAUUGCACAAUGGGCGAAAGCCUGAUGCAGCGACGCCGCGUGAGGGAUGACGGCCUUCGGGUUGUAAACCUCUUUCAGCAGGGAAGAAGCGCAAGUGACGGUACCUGCAGAAGAAGCACCGGCUAACUACGUGCCAGCAGCCGCGGUAAUACGUAGGGUGCGAGCGUUGUCCGGAAUUAUUGGGCGUAAAGAGCUCGUAGGCGGCUUGUCGCGUCGGAUGUGAAAGCCCGGGGCUUAACYCCGGGUCUGCAUUCGAUACGGGCAGGCUAGAGUUNGGUAGGGGAGAUCGGAAUUCCUGGUGUAGCGGUGAAAUGCGCAGAUAUCAGGAGGAACACCGGUGGCGAAGGCGGAUCUCUGGGCCRNUACUGACGCUGAGGAGCGAAAGCGUGGGGAGCGAACAGGAUUAGAUACCCUGGUAGUCCACGCCGUAAACGUUGGGAACUAGGUGUGGGCGACAUUCCACGUCGUCCGUGCCGCAGCUAACGCAUUAAGUUCCCCGCCUGGGGAG